GCCAGACUCCUACGGGAGGCAGCAGUGGGGAAUAUUGCACAAUGGGGGAAACCCUGAUGCAGCGACGCCGCGUGAAGGAAGAAGUAUUUCGGUAUGUAAACUUCUCUCAGCAGGGAAGAAAAUGACGGUACCUGACUAAGAAGCCCCGGCUAACUACGUGCCAGCAGCCGCGGUAAUACGUAGGGGGCAAGCGUUAUCCGGAUUUACUGGGUGUAAAGGGAGCGUAGGCGGUUUAGCAAGUCAGAAGUGAAAGCCCGGGGCUCAACUCCGGGACUGCUCUUGGAACUGCGCGGCUGGAGUGCAGGAGGGGCAGGCGGAAUUCCUGGUGUAGCGGUGAAAUGCGUAGAUAUCAGGAGGAACACCGGUGGCGAAGGCGGCCUGCUGGACUGCGACUGACGUUGAGGCCCGAAAGCGUGGGGAGCAAACAGGAUUAGAUCCCCGAGUA
This 445-nucleotide ribosomal RNA is filed under the name uncultured bacterium. RNAcentral's name for it is "partial 16S ribosomal RNA". It matches the Rfam family "Bacterial small subunit ribosomal RNA", at positions 330 to 792 of the family's 1533-position model. The record is from RNAcentral.